RNAcentral lists this ribosomal RNA (466 nucleotides) under uncultured bacterium. RNAcentral describes it as "partial 16S ribosomal RNA". It matches the Rfam family "Bacterial small subunit ribosomal RNA", at positions 29 to 507 of the family's 1533-position model. The record is from RNAcentral.
AUGAACGCUGGCGGCGCGCCUAACACAUGCAAGUCGAACGAUUAAAGCACCUUCGGGUGUGUAUAAAGUGGCGAACGGCUGAGUAACACGUGGGCAACCUGCCCCUCUCAUUGGGAUAGCCACGGGAAACCGUGGAUAAUACCGAAUACUUCGGGACUUCCGCAUGGAAGACUCGAGAAAGCUCCGGCGGAGAGGGAUGGGCCCGCGGCCUGUUAGCUUGUUGGUGGGGUAAUGGCCUACCAAGGCAAUGAUGGGUAGCUGGGUUGAGAGACCGACCAGCCAGAUUGGGACUGAGACACGGCCCAGACUCCUACGGGAGGCAGCAGUGGGGAAUCUUGCACAAUGGGCGAAAGCCUGAAGCAGCGACGCCGCGUGCGGGAUGAAGGCCUUCGGGUUGUAAACCGCUUUCAGCAGGGACGAGGCGAAAGUGACGGUACCUGCAGAAGAAGCCCCGGCUAACUACGUG